UUAACAUUAUGGUCCUUGAGUAUAGUCCUAGUUAAUAGAAAAAUUUUAAUCCUUAGAUAUUGAAAAAGGUCUCUAGGGGGAAGAUUAUAUUUUACUUGCAUUUGUAUAAAUGGGAUGGGUUUAGAUCCAUCCCAUAAAUCAGAAAUCUUCAAUAUGCCUAGGUGUGUCCAGGGUUGAACAUUUAUAUUAUUCAUUGCGUGUUGUAGGACC
Non-coding RNA from Pelobates cultripes (western spadefoot toad), 210 nucleotides. NCBI's taxonomy places the organism in Eukaryota, Metazoa, Chordata, Amphibia, Anura, Pelobatidae. The record is from the annotation of a GenBank genome assembly.